UUUGAUUCAUGUUUAUUUUUAGAGUCCAGACUUCUCGGGCCCAGCGUAUUUAUCCUUGUUAUUCUAGGCUUUGUAGCGUUGGGUUGGGUGCGCAAGAUUUUGGCACAAACAAUGCCCCUUGAAUCUGAACUGUUUGGAAACGGUUCCUCGAUUUUUAACGGUUCAGAUUGAAUCAAUUGUCCAUUAAUGUUGCGCGCCACUUUCUUCCGUUUCUACUAACCCACGUCUACCACGUUUUGUCUGUUGAGCUAGAGUUCGUGGAGAACUGGGUAAUUAAUAGCUAGUUACCAGCUAGCUAUCGAUAGAUGACGCUUUGCCUUCUUCCUCCCACGUUUCUGAACUUUUAAAAAAAAAAAAGAAAUUCAAACUUACAGUUCCUGUUCAUUCGAAAAACCUAGCCUUUCAGACCCUGUCCUUUCCAGUGUUCCCCGAAGUUUCUACCCUUUCUCUUUGUUCAGAC
This 460-nucleotide long non-coding RNA is filed under the name Prunus persica (peach). RNAcentral's name for it is "long non-coding RNA (PPER_LNC007892)". Lineage: Eukaryota; Viridiplantae; Streptophyta; Magnoliopsida; Rosales; Rosaceae. The record is from RNAcentral.